GCAAGGGCACAUGGUGGAUGUCUUGGCGUCAAGAGGCGAUGAAGGACGUAGGAACCUGCGAAAAGCCCAGGGGAGCUGGUAACCAAGCACCGAUCCUGGGAUCUCCGAAUGGGGCAACCCACCCGCAAGGGUAUCGUGCGCUGAAUGAAUAGGCGUACGAAGCGAACCUGCUGAACUGAAACAUCUCAGUAAGCAGAGGAAAAGAAAGCAACAGCGAUUCCGUAAGUAGCGGCGAGCGAAAGCGGAUAAACCGACCAGCGAGCGAAGCGUCAGGAAUGGCGCACCGAAGAAGGUGAAAGUCCUGUAGCCGCGAAUCGGGGAGCCCAUAGAGUAAACUCGGUCUCGUGAAACCCGGGUUGAAGAUGGGGGGUCCACCCUCCAAGGCUAAAUACUCCUUGACGACCGAUAGUGAACGAGUAAGGCGACUGAACGAUGAAAACUACGGCGAUGAGCCGGGUGAAAGAGUAGCUGAAACCAUGUGCUUACAAGCGGUCGGAGGACGCGAGUCUGACGGCGUGCUUUUUGCAUAAUGAGCCCGCGAGUUACGCUGUGCGGCGAGCCUAAGGCCUACCGGGCCGGAGGCGGAGCGAAAGCGAGUCCGAACAGGGCGCCUAGUCGCACGGUGUAGACACGAAACCUUGUGAUCUACCGUUGGCCAGAGUGAAGGGCGGGUAACACCGCCUGGAGGCUCGAACUCGUGAACGUUGAAAAGUUCUGGGAUGAGCUGACGGGAGGACUCAAAGUGUAAUCAAACUGGGAGAUAGCUUGUUCUCUCCGAAAUAACUUUAGGGUUAGCCUCAGGUAUCAAACGUCGGGGGUAGAGCUACUGGAAGAUUGUAGGGGCCUACCCGGCUACCUCGAUCUACCAAACUCCGAAUACCGAUGUUGUAGACCUGGGAGAUAGACGGCGAGUGACAAUAUCCGUCGUCAAAAGGAGAAAAAUCCUGAUCGCCAGCUAAGGCCCCUAAUCUCUGCUCAGUUCGAAAGGAAGUCAGGUUGCGGUGACACCCGGGAUGUUGGCUUAGAAGCAGCCACCAUUUAAAGAGUGCGUAACAGCUCACCGGACGAGGAACCUGGCGCCGAUAAUGAUCGGGAAUAAGCAGAGAGCCGAAGCUGCGGGCGCGCAAGCGCGGUAGGAGAGCGUUGCUCGGGCGGUGAAGCCGUGCGGAAACGCCAGGUGGAGCGCGAGCAAGUGAAUAUGCGGGCUUGAGUAACGAUUAACAGGGUGAGAAUCCCUGUCGCCGAAUACCCAAGGUUUCCUGGGGAAGGUAAAUCCGCCCAGGGUUAGCCGGGACCUAAGGCAAGGCCGAAAGGCGUAGUCGAUGGACAUGGGGUGUAAUAUUCCCCAGCACACGCGGAGAUCGAAUCACGGUGCGGAUCAUGAAGUUGGGCGAGGCAGCUGGUGCCUAGGAAACGUGCCCCGAUGGAUUGGUUCCCAGAAAAGCCGUGAGGGCAAUGCGUGUCCCGUACCAAAACUGACACAGGUGGGUGUGGCGAUUAGCCUAAGGCGCUCGAGAGAACGGUCGUGAAGGAACUAGGCAAAUUAACCCCGUAAGUUCGCGAUAAGGGGGCCCUCGCCGCAAGGCAGGGCGCAGAGAAGAGGCUCUGGGAACUGUUUAUCAAAAACACAGCACUGUGCCAAGACGCAAGUCGACGUAUACAGUGUGACGCUUGCCCGAUGCCGGAAUGUCAAGGGAGCGGUUCAGCGAAAGCGAAGAUUGCGACCGAAGCACCGGCGAAUGGCGGCCGUAACUAUGACGGUCCUAAGGUAGCGAAAUUCCUUGUCGGGUAAGUUCCGACGCGCAUGAAUAGCGUAAUAACUGGAGCACUGUCUCCACGACCGACUCGGUGAAAUAGUAGUGGCGGUGAAGAUACCGCCUUCCCGCAGCAAGACGGAAAGACCCCGUGGACCUUCACUAUAGGCUCGUAUUGGCCACGAGCAUAUUCUGCGUAGCAUAGGUGGGAGGCUUUGACGACCGGGUUCCGGCCCGGUAAGAGCCAUCGGUGAAAUACCACCCUGAGUAAGUUUGUGGCCUAACCUCGAUUCCCGUGAAUCCGGGCGAGGGACAGUGCGUGUCGGGUAGUUUGACUGGGGCGGUCUCCUCCAAAAGAGUAACGGAGGAGCGCAAAGGUCGGCUCAGCACGGAUGGAAACCGUGUGUCGAGUGCAAGAGCACAAGCCGGCUUUACUGCGAGUCCGACAGGACGAGCAGUCACGAAAGUGGGCUCUAGUGAUCCUGCGGUCCCGAGUGGAAGGGCCGUAGCUCAACGGAUAAAAGGUACCCCGGGGAUAACAGGCUGAUCGCGCCCGAGCGUCCAUAGCGGCGGCGCGGUUUGGCACCUCGAUGUCGGCCCAUCACAUCCUGGGGCUGAAGGCGGUCCCAAGGGUUCGGCUGUUCGCCGAUUAAAGUGGUACGCGAGCUGGGUUCAGACCGGCGUGAGCCAGGUCGGUCCCUAUCUGUUGUGGGCGUCGCAUACUUGAGUGGAGUCAACCUUAGUACGAGAGGAUUGGGUUGGACGUACCCCUGGUGAUCCAGUUGGCCUGCCAAGGCCACAGCUGGGUAGCUACGUACGGCAGGGAUAACCGCUGAAAGCAUCUAAGCGGGAAGCCCCCCACAAGAUGAGGUAUGCUUGUCGAAAGACGUGAGACCCCUGGAAGACCACCAGGUUGAUAGGCCGCGCGUGCACGGUACGAAAGUGCCUCAGCGGAGCGGUCCUAACGGUCAAAUCUUGGUC
This 2735-nucleotide ribosomal RNA is filed under the name freshwater bacterium LH6-2. RNAcentral describes it as "bacterial LSU rRNA". It matches the Rfam family "Bacterial large subunit ribosomal RNA". The record is from RNAcentral.